GGAGAAACAGCACGUGUGCAUUCAGGAGCUGGACCACUGAACAGAAGCUCUUGGAAUUAGCAGACAUUGUGCCAAGAACUUUAGACCCUCACAGGCCGUAGAGAUGGCUGGGAUCCAAUUCCUUUAUCUCUGAGGAUAUCUGGGUUACAUAUGGAAAGAGAGAAGCAAGCUUGGCUGAGAACAAUGGGGAAAGUGGUGCCACUCAUGUUUCUAUUUCCACCCACUCCCCGCACCCAGCCAGGAAAGAAGAAGCCCAAUAGGACAAUGAUCCUGAUGGAGGCUGUCAGCCGCCCCUGGGAGGUCUUUGUUGAUAUUGAGCUCUGGAGGAGGAGAUGGUGGACGACACCUGACGGCAUAUGGGAGAAGCCAGGCUGUAUGGAGGGACUGGGAGAACACUAAACCGGGUCUGGUUUCUGAAUCUGCCUCCCAAGAACAAGACUGCAGGACAGAUAAGCCUUGCUUUCCUUCUAGCACAGCACACAGUAAGCUCAUGGGUCUGGCUUCCCUAU
RNAcentral lists this long non-coding RNA (509 nucleotides) under Felis catus (domestic cat). RNAcentral describes it as "lncRNA (ENSFCAG00000048171.1)". Lineage: Eukaryota; Metazoa; Chordata; Mammalia; Carnivora; Felidae. The record is from RNAcentral.